GAUUCUUCAUUUUACAUUAAAGUUAAAUAGAAUAAAGUCUUCGGUGUGCAGCUUUAAGGCUUCCAGAGGAUUUUGGAUUUGCUCCUGUUUGGCCACAAGGCAGAUGUCGGCUGAUAAGGUCUGGCUCGCAGUCCAUGUUCCAGCUCGUCCAGACGAUGUGGGAUGAGGGUUGAGGUCAGGAGUCUGUGCCGAUCGGUUGAAUUCUGUGCACGGGCAUUGUUGUCGGAGGAGGAACUGGUCUUCCUCCUCAACAUGUCGCCACUGAGUUGGACAAAACUGAAAUCCGCCCGGACCAUGAACAACAGCCGCAGACCAAACGGACAGCAGACGGCGUCCACGUUGUUUCGGCCACAUUGUGAAUCUCCAGGGGAAAAAACACCAAGCGGUCGUCGCAGCUGCUUCGUCUUCGCUUCAUCUCCGCGUCUCUCAGACCAAACGGCAGCGAAGCAGCAGACUCCACUUCCUGCUGCGGAGGUUUUCUCUCAGGGUGGCGGGUUUCUGAAGCAGCUCGCGCCUCCCGCCGAGCUCUCUGAUGCACCAUCAGGACCCACAACACAGAUACCAGGAGAGCAGUUAUCAGUUCCUCACAUUCCCACAGUCCACGAUCCGUCAACAUGGAGCGAGCUGGGAAAAAAACGAGCAAACAAUCUCUGAGGAGCCACAACUUCUUCUGUACAGCCUCGCGAAUUACCUCCAGAUUACAGAGGAGCAGCUGUUCGCCCACUUCCCCCCGGACGGCGAGUCUGUGUGAUUAUGCGCCGAGCGACGACCGAGACAAACAUCCAGCGCUCGCUCCUCCUCCUCCAUGUCCACAAACUGUCACUCAGUUACAUGAAAAACAACCCAGACACGAUAAUUACAGCGACAAAGGAAUAUUUAUUAAAUCAAUUUUUUGUUUUUGUUAGUCAAAGCUGCUCCAACACGUGUAUGUACAAAGAAAACAAAAUGGCCUUGUUGUAGAAAAG
Long non-coding RNA from Scophthalmus maximus (turbot), 965 nucleotides. RefSeq lists it as uncharacterized. The transcript has 3 exons. The record is from RefSeq and is a predicted model, not a curated record. Lineage: Eukaryota; Metazoa; Chordata; Actinopteri; Pleuronectiformes; Scophthalmidae.